AUUGAACGCUGGCGGCAUGCCUUACACAUGCAAGUCGAACGGUAACAGGUUAAGCUGACGAGUGGCGAACGGGUGAGUAAUGUAUCGGAACGUGCCCAGUCGUGGGGGAUAACUGCUCGAAAGAGCAGCUAAUACCGCAUACGACCUGAGGGUGAAAGCGGGGGAUCGCAAGACCUCGCGCGAUUGGAGCGGCCGAUAUCAGAUUAGGUAGUUGGUGAGGUAAAGGCUCACCAAGCCGACGAUCUGUAGCUGGUCUGAGAGGAUGACCAGCCACACUGGGACUGAGACACGGCCCAGACUCCUACGGGAGGCAGCAGUGGGGAAUUUUGGACAAUGGGCGCAAGCCUGAUCCAGCCAUGCCGCGUGCGGGAAGAAGGCCUUCGGGUUGUAAACCGCUUUUGUCAGGGAAGAAAAGGUUCUGGCUAAUACCUGGGACUCAUGACGGUACCUGAAGAAUAAGCACCGGCUAACUACGUG
This 477-nucleotide ribosomal RNA is filed under the name uncultured bacterium. RNAcentral describes it as "partial 16S ribosomal RNA". It matches the Rfam family "Bacterial small subunit ribosomal RNA", at positions 30 to 507 of the family's 1533-position model. The record is from RNAcentral.